Long non-coding RNA from Gopherus agassizii (Agassiz's desert tortoise), 670 nucleotides. NCBI's taxonomy places the organism in Eukaryota, Metazoa, Chordata, Testudines, Testudinidae. The record is from Ensembl.
GGAACUUCCGCAAGGAAGAGCCGCGAUGACGUUAUUCCGGUCACGCCCCUUCUUAAAGAGACAGGCCCCUCCAACUGCAGGCGCUGCCCUGGCUCUGGGAGGGGAGCGGGGCCUAAUGUGUUACUGAUCCACUCCAAGAACUUGGUGAUAUUGGAUGUCAUCUCCCACUCCUAACUGUCCUGAUCAUAAGAUUAAAACGAUCUGCUCUCAACUCUAGCUUGGCAAUGGAUGCAAAGGAAGCUAUGAAACAGGAUGCUGAGCAGCCCCCAGACACUGAGUCGCUGGUUGAAGGUGUGAGAACCCUGUUACGAUCUCUUGAGGUCCGGCAGCAGCACCUCCUGGCAAACAUUGCCAGCUGCGACGAGCUGAUGGCAGAAAUCACCAGUCUUCAGGCCGCUCUCUGUGCACCUGCCAGAACAGAGGGCAGCUCCUUGCCUGUGCAAGAGGAGAACAAGCAUUCCUGAAAUGCUUAAUGAGCAGCUCACCUGAGGGCUAUUGAUGGAGGAAGCCACUACAACUCUCCUUGGCUGUUCCCUACAAAAUAUACUUACCCUCUAUUCCCUGAACUCUUUACAUGUGUUUGGUGUGUGUAAGUGCAUGUUGCUGUGACCUGCACUCUGUCUCAUUGUGUAGAAAUAAAUGACACAACUGUUUGCUCUAGCUCUGAAAA